GAAGCCCACCAGACUGUCGCUGGUGCAAGCCGCAAGGCCGACGCGCAAGCGCCGGGUGGAAACACCGCACUGGAGGAACGUCCGGACUGCAUAGGGCAGCGUAGCAGCUAACGGCUGUCCACUGAAACCCGUGCGCGCAAGUGCACGGCAUAAGGUGAGGAUCAGAGCAACAGAGACGAGCCGAUUAAGUUCGGGUGAAACGGGCAAUCUCUACGCGCAGCAAUACCAAGUAGGCCAGCGUUGAUGGGGCCCCCAGAGCUGGCGGGUAGGUAGCACCGAGCCGCUGGGCGACCAGCGGCCCAGAGUAAUGACAGUCACUUCGGCGUGUCCGCAAGGACGCGCCGUUGCACAGAAUCCGGCUUAUCGGUGGGCUUCACAC
RNAcentral lists this RNase P RNA (379 nucleotides) under Rhodoferax sp. RNAcentral's name for it is "RNase P RNA component class A". It matches the Rfam family "Bacterial RNase P class A". From Rfam's summary of the family: Ribonuclease P (RNase P) is a ubiquitous endoribonuclease, found in archaea, bacteria and eukarya as well as chloroplasts and mitochondria. Its best characterised activity is the generation of mature 5'-ends of tRNAs by cleaving the 5'-leader elements of precursor-tRNAs. Cellular RNase Ps are ribonucleoproteins. Lineage: Bacteria; Pseudomonadati; Pseudomonadota; Betaproteobacteria; Burkholderiales; Comamonadaceae. The record is from RNAcentral.